AGUGAACGCUGGCGGUAGGCCUAACACAUGCAAGUCGAACGGCAGCACAGUAAGAGCUUGCUCUUACGGGUGGCGAGUGGCGGACGGGUGAGGAAUACAUCGGAAUCUACUUUUUCGUGGGGGAUAACGUAGGGAAACUUACGCUAAUACCUCAUACGAUCUACGGGUGAAAGCAGGGGAUCUUCGGACCUUGCGCGAUUGAAUUAGCCGAUGUCGGAUUAGCUAGUUGGCGGGGUAAAGGCCCACCAAGGCGACGAUCCGUAGCUGGUCUGAGAGGAUGAUCAGCCACACUGGAACUGAGACACGGUCCAGACUCCUACGGGAGGCAGCAGUGGGGAAUAUUGGACAAUGGGCGCAAGCCUGAUCCAGCCAUACCGCGUGGGUGAAGAAGGCCUUCGGGUUGUAAAGCCCUUUUGUUGGGAAAGAAAAGCAGCAGGUUAAUACCCCGCUGUUCUGACGGUACCCAAAGAAUAAGCACCGGCUAACUUCGUG
Molecule: ribosomal RNA, 492 nt
Filed under: uncultured bacterium
Lineage: Bacteria
Description: partial 16S ribosomal RNA
Rfam family: Bacterial small subunit ribosomal RNA
Source: RNAcentral